UAGGGAAUCUUCCACAAUGGACGAAAGUCUGAUGGAGCAACGCCGCGUGAGUGAAGAAGGGUUUCGGCUCGUAAAACUCUGUUGUUAAAGAAGAACGUGGGUAAGAGUAACUGUUUACCCAGUGACGGUAUUUAACCAGAAAGCCACGGCUAACUACGUGCCAC
RNAcentral lists this ribosomal RNA (164 nucleotides) under uncultured bacterium. Its description in RNAcentral is "partial 16S rRNA". It matches the Rfam family "Bacterial small subunit ribosomal RNA", at positions 355 to 511 of the family's 1533-position model. The record is from RNAcentral.